GAUGAACGCUGGCGGCGUGCCUAAUACAUGCAAGUCGAGCGAACAGAUGAGGAGCUUGCUCCUCUGACGUUAGCGGCGGACGGGUGAGUAACACGUGGAUAACCUACCUAUAAGACUGGGAUAACUUCGGGAAACCGGAGCUAAUACCGGAUAAUAUAUUGAACCGCAUGGUUCAAUAGUGAAAGACGGUUUUGCUGUCACUUAUAGAUGGAUCCGCGCCGCAUUAGCUAGUUGGUAAGGUAACGGCUUACCAAGGCAACGAUGCGUAGCCGACCUGAGAGGGUGAUGGGCACCCUGGAAAUGGAAACAGGUCCCAGACCCUUGCGGGAGGCAGCAUGGGGGAUCUCUCGGAAAUGGCCGAAACCCUAGCGGCGCACCCACGGGGGAGGAAUAAAGUUCUUCGGUUCUUAAACUUCUUUUUUGAGGGAAAAAAAAUGUUGUAAUUAACUAUGCCCUUCUAGACGUUCCCUAAUAAGAAGCCCCGGCCAAGGUCCUUC
RNAcentral lists this ribosomal RNA (497 nucleotides) under uncultured bacterium. RNAcentral describes it as "partial 16S ribosomal RNA". It matches the Rfam family "Bacterial small subunit ribosomal RNA", at positions 28 to 508 of the family's 1533-position model. The record is from RNAcentral.